RNAcentral lists this small RNA (94 nucleotides) under Salmonella enterica. Its description in RNAcentral is "partial RtT sRNA". It matches the Rfam family "RtT RNA", at positions 36 to 130 of the family's 130-position model. Rfam says of the family: This family represents a bacterial cis-regulatory element known as RtT RNA. The exact function of RtT is unknown although it is thought that it may be involved in changing the cellular response in relation to amino acid starvation. The record is from RNAcentral. Lineage: Bacteria; Pseudomonadati; Pseudomonadota; Gammaproteobacteria; Enterobacterales; Enterobacteriaceae. RNAcentral also lists the same sequence under 5 other names.
CCGCAGGUUCGGGACUCACGCAGUGAGACAACGGAGCCGCUUGCGGCGACGGCCCGAAGGGCGAGCGAAGCGAGUCAUCCUGCACGACCCACCA